This is a long non-coding RNA of Mesoplodon densirostris (Blainville's beaked whale), 316 nucleotides long. RefSeq lists it as uncharacterized. The transcript is spliced from 3 exons. The record is from RefSeq and is a predicted model, not a curated record. Lineage: Eukaryota; Metazoa; Chordata; Mammalia; Artiodactyla; Ziphiidae.
GGCGGGUUCCGCUAGGUCGGACCUCACCGCCGAAGGUUAAUACGGUUCAACCUUUGAAGCCCGGGCGACGCUGUGAGGGCUCGUUACUAGGCUUGGUUGACACCAUCAAUCCAUUUUUGUUCCUUUGCUGGUAUCCUGUUUUUCCAUUUGGAAGCUUGUGGAGUUUUCCUUUUUUUUUUUCAGAGUUCAGAAUUUUCACCAGAAUGUGUGAAGGUGGAUGUUAAUGCAAUUCUCCUAUUGGUCACCACACUGUCCUCUGGAUUGUUCACUCAGACCUAUCAAGAGAACACAGUCUCCAUGGCUUUAGAAAGUUCAA